Zootermopsis nevadensis is the source of this 6485-nucleotide non-coding RNA. The record is from RefSeq and is a predicted model, not a curated record. Lineage: Eukaryota; Metazoa; Arthropoda; Insecta; Blattodea; Termopsidae.
GCUUUUCAGAUUUCGAAGCGACAGUUUGUAAAUUUCCCUGUUGCUGUAUAGUUGUUAGUGGCUGUAUUGGUGAUUAUUAUUUCAAUGACGAUUCGGCAAGAUACGUACUGAGGUUUUUGAUGUAAUACGAAAACUAAUAUUUCAAUUACGUACAUUAUUUUUGUAUUGUGUAAAAAUGAGUAAAAAGUGUGCGAGGUGUGAAAAAACAGUUUAUCCUAUUGAGGAAUUAAAAUGCCUAGACAAGAUCUGGCACAAACAGUGUUUCAAAUGUCAGGUGUGUAACAUGACCCUGAAUAUGCGGAAUUACAAAGGAUUCAACAAGCAGCCAUACUGUGAGGCGCACAUCCCAAAAGCAAAGGCAACUACCAUGGCAGAAACACCAGAAUUGAAGCGAAUUGCAGAAAACACAAAAAUUCAGUCAAAUGUUCUGUAUCACGCUGAGUUUGAAAGAGCAAAAGGAAAAUUCACACAAGUCGCCGAUGAUCCUGAAACAUUACGAAUCAAGCAGAACUCAAAGAUUAUCAGUAACGUAGCAUAUCAUGGAGAAUUGGAGAAGAAGGCAGCGAUGGAGCAGAAGCGAGUCAUGUCUGGGGAAAAUGGAGAACCUGUUGGUGAUGCAGAUGACAUAAACAUGCCCCCACCCCUGCAAGUGCCUCCCCCUGCUCAGCCCAUCAAUCACCAUCACUCAGUGGGGGUGCAGCCCCAUCACCACCAUCAUCAUAUGCCCGGAAAGAUAGCAGACUACGACCCUCUGGUGGAGGCUCCCCAUAACUCCCCGUACUCGGCAAGACAGAGCGCUACUGUAAUCUACACUUCUGACCGAGGCCCAGUGACUAGUCCACCCACGCGACGAGUUGGCUCCAUUGCAGACCUCGAUCCUGUCAACAAUUUUUAUGGGUCAUUGACAACGGACUACAGACCACCUAGUAGCGGUGGUGGCAGCAGUGCCAACAAUUACAAUAAUCAUCAUGCUGUGAGCACACCCAUCAGCAAUCAGCAUCAGCAAACCAAACUGCCAUCUUCAGGGAGAGUUUAUAAAGCAAUGUACGACUAUGACGCUCAGGAUUCUGAUGAAGUUUCAUUCAUGGAUGGAGACCUCAUUAUUAACUGCACACCAAUUGAUGAAGGAUGGAUGACUGGGCUUGUCCAGCGAACGGGACAGACGGGCAUGUUACCCGCCAAUUAUGUGGAGCCUGUAAAUUGAUGGGUUGACAUGUGCUUUAUGCUGUACCAUCAUUAGCUUUUGGAGACGGUGGAUGUCAGGAUGGAUUUCGAUUAGUUUCUUUUGUACGUCAGCACUUACAAAAAUGUUGGACUUCAGGGAAAAUGGAGUUCUUCAUCCAGUAAUUUUGACAUUGUCGUCAUAUUUUGAGAAUGUACUGUGCAAAAAUUAGCCAUAAUCACGGUUAUAUUUGCUAUUUGAAACUUAUUUCAUUAUUUUGCAUGACUCGAGGGCCCCCUCUCAUAUUUAAUGGUUCUGAUGAAUUUGUUGACAGUAUUUCAUAUGGAUAGUAUCCAAGAACUUGUUUGAAUGUGGAUUUUACUUUCCAUAUUUCUGAUUGGUGCCGUUGUCCAUCAAAAUGCAUAAUUUUAAUUACUGUUUGAAACCUUUCUACACUGAAGACUUGGGUCCCGUAAACAUAUUAUAGUUAUGUACAUAUAAAUGGUCUCUUCAAGAUAAUUGAAUUAUAGGAAGUUUAGCACAGGGAGCAGUUCGAAAUGAGUAAAACAAGUUUAAAGUUUCUUUAACCCUUUAACAAAUUGGGAUAUGCUGAACAGUCAGUAUUUAACUGUAUACCGCAAGUGAAAUUAAUAAGCGUGGGGAGAUGCCGCAAACAGUCGAGAGCAUGGGGACAUGGAUCGCUGUUCACACAGUAAAAACUUGCUUACAGCAGAAUCCCAAAGGACCUGAAUAAUUGCACAGUAUAUGUCCCAAAUGAUGAUCCAAUCGUAUGUAAAAAAAUUAUGCUUCAAAUGUGCAUUGAAUUAUUGAGUAUUAUAUAUUUUCAGUUUUCCUCCUUUAUGCUACAUUAUUUUUUUUUCACUCAGUAUUCCUAAGAACGGAGGGAUUUUCAAUAUCAUUCCGUGUCCAGGUUCAUUUUCAAAUGACUUGUAUGAUAUUCGGGUAAAAUCGUAGUUACGUGCAUUUCACGUGGUCAGAAUUGCUGUACUCCAGUCUUCAAAUGCUAAUGGAGGUUGAAGUGCCUAAUUCAAUUUCUUUCCUGUUUGAUCAUCCUGAUGCCUUAACCAUAUACUUAUAUCCACGGAAAAAAAUUCAGAGGUUAUGUGAAAUAUUGUUUUUGUUGCCAUGUUUUUGCUGUCGGUUUACUUAUUGACAUCGUUAAUAUUUCUUAUACUUGCCUUUGCUAAGCUUGUCGGUAGCAAUUAUACAGAAAAGCAGAAUUUAUAAUGCUUAAUGUUUUCUGUUGGUAAUACUGAACCAUUGACUUAACUGACUUGAAUUCAGGGAAAUUUUGAAUGUUUUGUGAUGCAUGGAACACUUAUCUGUAGAUUGACAUGUGUUAAAUGUAAUCUGAAUCUAAGAUUUUGUCGGUGGUUGAUUGACUAAGGAUGUGAGUAAUUGAUAGCCCUAACUGAACUGUCUUCCUUUACUGUCACAGGCACGGUGACGUCUCAGCGUCUAGUUUUCUAUAAUAUAAGAAGCAUUUAAAUGUAUAGACACAUCUGCUGUGUGCCAGAGUUGUCAUGUCAAGACGGCUAGUUAAAUUGAUAGCACAGACUUGUUUCUGAUACAAGGUUUGUUCAUACAGUGGAAAGAUUAGACGAUGCGGAGAGCCGUAAAAUGCACCGAAGGGUUGAAACUACUUGUGUCAUAGAAUGUUCAGGUUGUAUAGAUAUAUAAUUAUGUAACUUUGCUGUUUUAUGAGACACAUCUGAGUGAUCAAUAAUUAAUUUUUUAUCCAAUUAACCCUGCAACUAAAACACCAAUUAAGCAAUUGUUCUCAACGGUUGUAAGUUCUUUGGACACAAAUCAUGAUUCAACCACAACUGGUUCCUACUUUACACUGUGUUGCCUUACAAAUGCUUUAAACUUGUGAUUUACAUAAUAAUUGUUAAUCAUACAUUUGUAAUUUUAUUAAGAGUGAAGUUUCCAUAGCUAUUUGCUAUUUUUAUAACAGUUUAUAUUGAUAACGAGAUUUGAAGCUUUUGUGGCAACUGAUUGCAUUGAAGUCUGUGCAGGUGAUCAGCUGUGUCAGAAUGGAAUGAAUUUCUGUCCGUCCCUGAUAGAGGCAGAGGUAAUCUCCAAAACAUUAGAAUCUCAUCCCGUAUUGACACAGCUGAUCUCCCAGGAAUACUUUGUUACAUUUAAAAUAAAUUUUUUAGAUAGUGUGUGGAAAUGUUACUGUAAAAUUGUUAACAGAAAUGCCGCUGUAUUUCUGUUGCGGAUAUGUACGUGUCAUUUGUCGUAGAAUCGCCUCACAGCAUUCCAUUGAAAUGUGUGCACUUGAAGAUGCGUGAGAUAAGUGUGUAUGUGCAUGCGUGCCUUUGUCUCUCUGAUCUCUGGACUAAUUCAUCGUAGCUCAAUUUAAGUUACAGAUAAUUUGGUUUUCUAAACAUGCUGUUUAGAAGCUCACUGAGGAACUUUCACAGUGUUAUUAAACAUCAAAACCAGUCAAAUUGAGCAUGUUGGCAGAAUACAAGGAGACUGGCUUCCAAAACUAGUAUAAAAUUACAAACCGUAUGGAUUAGGAAACCGAGUGUGACCUUUAACGAGAGGCUGGAACAGAUCAGCAGGUGUCGGAACUCCUUGACUGCCAAUGAAUAUGAAGGUGACGAAUAAACAAUACCAAACGACAAGAUACAGUGACAAGGCAGGAUUGUUUAAAAUGUAAUUAUUUUGUUGUUUAAGCUUUCCACACAGGAAGUGUUCACAGGCAGAUUUCUAACCUGGCUGCUGCUAUUAGUUUGGACAGAAGAAAUAAAUGAGUACAUUAACUGCAAAUGGGAACGCUCAUGGGUGUCAUAUUCCUCUUUUGCAUUUGUAAUGUUUUUCUUGAAAUGGAAAUCAUGACACAGAGUUUCUUCACGUUAUUCUGUCCUGUUAGCCCAAGAAAUCUGAUAUCCGUACACAUAAAAAACACGCACAGUGUAUAUGAUGGUAUGGACUUUUCUAUAUGUGCGCUAUCAGUCUGUCCUAUCCCGAGUUUAAUUUAAUAAUUUCUUAAAAUGAAUAUAAAUUAUGAAGUUUGGUGCUAUUUAGUUUUUCAAACUUCCUUAUCAUUAUCCUGUUUUGAAUUAUCAGUUUCUGAAAUCAGCUAUGUAUACAACAGGUAAAAUGUUGCUUCUUGACGUUUUGAGAGGUUAUAAUUUGCAAACUGAUUUUACAAAGCACCACAAUAUGCCAGUAUGGCGCCUCAGGAUUCGCCGUUCAUUCUGUUGGUUCACUUUUCCUCUGGGUCAGAAUAAUGGCUCCAAAAUUUCUGCAUAAAUAGAGAGCAUCAUAAUUCCACAAAUCAUUUGUGUGAAUCCACAUUAUUUUCCUUAUUUGCCCAUUCUUGUAUUUUGGUAUGGGCUGCAGAGGGACCCAGUAUGUUAGUUUAUUUUAAUUUUUAUUCUCUCAAUGCAUGGCAGCAAAAUUAAAAUUUUAAGUCAGAGUAACAUUAAUUAAAUUAAUGUGUUUGCCCUUACGUGUCAAGGUAAAUAUGAAUUUUGUUUGUCUUUUAUUUUUGUAAUAUAAGCUGUAGUUGAAUAUUUUAUAUUGUAAAUCUGAAGUUCAAUCACUUCUGUAUUUCUUUGAAUAUACUUUCAUAGGAACUUGCGAGGUCUUGUGAGUAGGUUUAACCCCCUGGUUUGUAAAAUCUCGGAAGUUCAAAAAUUCCUUAGUUUCAUUCCAUUUAUUUAUCUUCACUUGCACUGAAAUAUUUUAGAUUUUCAGCUUUGUCUGUUUCGUCCGCACUUCCUUUGUGCUUAGAACUGUAUUAAUUAAUUUCAAAUCAUAUUCUGAUACAGUUAACCCCUUAAAAAAUGUUACACGUUCCAUAUGUAAGCUUUUAAGCCAAUCGAUUGAGAGCCCAGUAAUGAUUUCCUCAGUGAGGGGUGGAAAAUACAUUUUUGGAUUUUAAUGCUGGCAUGCACCUUGGCAAAAGUUGGCCAAAGUAAAGAUAUUUAUUGUUCCAGGCUUCUUGGGAGGCAGACAUUUGAAUCCAUUUCAUUCCUUUCCUCUGUCAUCUGGAUUUGAUGCUUCUAAUCGCAAGAAAUAUUGGAACGUACACAUCUUCAUGAUGGUUUAUACUUCACAAGGUUUAAUAUAUUCUGGUUUGUACGCCAUUCCACUAUUUGCAUUUACUGUGACACAGCAACCAUUAUUCCAAUACUAAGUACUCUAGUUAUUUUGUCUAGAUAUAUAAGUAUGGGAUUUACAUAUACUAUAUAAAAAAAACAAUGGUACUGACUUCAAUUUAUAUUGUACAUAUAUACAUUAGUGUGUUUACCAGAUGAAUAAUUCAAUAUUACUUUUUCCUGUUACGAGUUUUGACAAUAAGAUCUUCAGUUUGUAAUUUUAAGUACUGUAUUACAUUUUUCAGCAUUAUUUUAUUUGAUACAGAUGUACGCUAAAUUCAGUGAAACAUUUUAUAUUAAGUUUUGUUGAAUUUUGUAGAUGUAGUUUCUGCUUUCUUAUUGCAAUAUUAGUCAUAUGUUCUAUUUACAUAGUAAUUAUUAUGCCAAUAUGCAGCUAAAAGCAUUUGGCACUAAAAAUGUUUACUUAAAUUUCAUAUUCUUUACAAGAUGAAUGUUGAACACAUUUAAUUACAAUUCCCCCAGUUUCUUUUGUUGCAUUGAGAAAUUUUUAUAGGAUAGUUUUCGUGAUUCAUGCUUUUUGAUUUCCACUGUUUGUUGCUUUGCAGGAUACUGUAAUAAUUUGAUGACCGAGCUUUCGUAUCUAGAAAUGUUUUUUACUGUAUGUUGCAGUGACACAUAGGAAAAGAUAAACUUAAGAAAUUAAUAAAGAAAGUCUGUUUCAUAAUACUGUGCACAUUGUUUUAAAGUAUUUAAAAUCUACAUUGUGUAUGAUAUGAUGGUGGAACAAUACAUUUUAAGGUAUCAUGAUAUAUUUCGUUGUAAAAGACUAGUGAAUUUCGUGUUUUAAAAGAUUAUUGAUACUUAAAGAUAUAUUGGUGAGGAGAUUCAUAAUUUGUGGAUGUUGAAUGUUGGACAAGUCUUCAAAAUUGUAACUUAUGCUUGUUCUUAUCACCAGGGGAAUAAACUAUAGCAAAUUUGGCAUAGUUUAAGUCUGUAUUGUUUUCAACAUGGGAGGUACAGAGUAUGGAUUUUGUUUAUUGUAUUGUACAUAACUUUAACAAAUCUUCAGAAAUUUAGAGAUCCUGUUUACUGUUCAGUUUAUUUAUUGUAAACCUGUUGGUGAAACAGGUGUACUAACUGUUGUGUGGUUUAUCAUUUUAAGUAAAUUUCUCAGUCUUGGUUCUUUCUAAGUUGGCUACAAUAAAUUAAAAGUUAUAGCUCUA